This 484-nucleotide ribosomal RNA is filed under the name uncultured bacterium. RNAcentral describes it as "partial 16S ribosomal RNA". It matches the Rfam family "Bacterial small subunit ribosomal RNA", at positions 30 to 507 of the family's 1533-position model. The record is from RNAcentral.
AGUGAACGCUGGCGGCAGGCCUAACACAUGCAAGUCGAGCGGCAGCGGGUCCUUCGGGAUGCCGGCGAGCGGCGGACGGGUGAGGAAUACAUCGGAAUCUGCGCUGUCGUGGGGGCUAACCUAGGGAAACUUAGGCUCAUACCGCAUACGACCUACGGGUGUAAGCGGGGGAUCGCAAGACCUCGCGCGACAGGAUGAGCCGAUGUCCGAUUAGCUAGUUGGCGGGGUAAAGGCCCACCAAGGCGACGAUCGGUAGCUGGUCUGAGAGGAUGAUCAGCCACACUGGGACUGAGACACGGCCCAGACUCCUACGGGAGGCAGCAGUGGGGAAUAUUGGACAAUGGGCGCAAGCCUGAUCCAGCCAUGCCGCGUGGGUGAAGAAGGCCUUCGGGUUGUAAAGCCCUUUUGUCCGGGAAGAAAUCGUCUGGGCUAAUACCCCGGGCGGAUGACGGUACCGGAAGAAUAAGCACCGGCUAACUUCGUG